Equus caballus (horse) is the source of this 1781-nucleotide long non-coding RNA. The record is from Ensembl. NCBI's taxonomy places the organism in Eukaryota, Metazoa, Chordata, Mammalia, Perissodactyla, Equidae.
GUGGGCAAGAAGACGACAGACCCUGUGUGCUCACCCUCUCCCACUUACCACCAAACGCAUGCAUCUCCACCCGCAGAAGGUCACUGAGGCGUUUCUCACCCUGAGCCUUCCCACUGUGGCUCAGCUGUCAGGAGGUGGACCCUGGGCCAGGUGCCAGGACGCUAUGACAUCUCUGGGGCGGGCACCUGGCUGCCUUCCCGACUGAGGAGGGUGUGCCACUGUCCAUGCCUAAACUCUGGGGGCCCUGUGGGAGAAGAGCCAGGUCUCUCAGGAGAUGGACCUCACUCUUUGAUGCCCCUGACUUGCCCGUGGGCCACCGACCUUUGUAUGCGGCUGCUCAAGUCCUUGCGGUCACACUUUUGUAAGAGACUUGAAGAGCGUGGUCUACGGCUUGUGCUGCGCCGCAGGGGUGUAGACCCAGAGUGCAAGCACAGGCGAAGAUCAGACACUCAUUUCACACUUCUGAUAGAAAAAUGAAGAAUUCAGAACCUGACUGUAAGCUCAAGACAAGAUGCAACAAAAGGAAUAAAAACUCAAAGAUCUUGGAAAAGAAUUCCAGCAACAUCAAACCAAGGAGCACGGACUUGCAGGUUGCUCAUAAAUUCCAGGACCUCUACCGCAUCCACAGGCAGGUGGAGGGCCGUCCCCAUCACCAGCUCUACCAGUGGCACCUCUACCGGCAGGAAUUGGUCCUUCUCCUCCUCCAACUCCUUUACCUCGACUAAGUGAUAUACCACAUCCACCACUAUCACCUUUGUUUGGGGACCUCCUACAAGGAUUACUUCCUGCUCUAACUUAAGAAAUAAAUGUAUAAACCUGAACUCCAUGUAUUGAUUCUUGAACUGCAUGACUUGAUUCUCCAUGAAGAGAAUCAAAUGGUCAAAGGCAAAAUUUUGACUAGAGGUUUUUGGCACCUUCUAGCCCCCAAUAGUCAUUAAUAUGCAAAUAACUGCAUAGCUGUGCACAAGUAUGGUAUAAUAUUACAGAAUACGACCGCUGACUCUUGCUUUCCUUUGUGAACUCACCAUCUUAUGUUUCUCUUUCAGUUCAGUAUCUCAGUAAUUGGAAACUCCAUAGACAAUAUCAAAUUUAUGUAGACGGCAAAGGAGAAUUAAAGUGGUGUAAAGAUAAUUGUGUUAGUUUCCUAAGGCUGCCAUAACGAUUCCCACAAGCUGGGUGGUUUAUAAAAAACAGAAAUUUCUCUCUCACAGUUGUGGAGGGCAGAAGUCCACAAUAACAGUGUAGGUAGUGCCACACUCCCUGAAGGCUCUAGGGGACAAUCUCUUUCUUGCCUUUUCCAGCUUCCAGCAUUUUUGGCAUUCCUUGGUUCAUGGAAUAUCUCUGUUCUGUCUUCACACUGCCUUCUCCCAGUGUCUGUGUAUAAACUUCCCUCUUCCAGGAGUGAAUACAUGUGGUUGCAUUUAUGACCCACCGAACUGACUAUUACAUGUUGAUCUUUUACUCUGCACCAUUAUUACAUUUGUUUAUUAGUGCUAGUAUCUUUUUGAGGAUUCUUUGGCAUACUAGAUGUAUUAGUAUCAUGUCAUCUGCAAAAAGAUUUUCCAAUUUGAAUGCCUUUUAUUUCAUGUUCUGGCCUAUCUGCUAUGGCUACAACUUCCAGUAAAAUCUUGAACUGACGAUAACUGACAUCCUUGUCUUCUUCCUGAUUUUAACGGGAAAGACUUCAGUCUUUCAGCACUGAGUAUGACAUUAGCUGUGGGUUUUUCACAUGUGCCCUUUAUUAUGUUGAAGAAGUUCCUUUCUAUUCCUUUUCUAUUGAG